RNAcentral lists this long non-coding RNA (311 nucleotides) under Gossypium barbadense (sea-island cotton). Its description in RNAcentral is "long non-coding RNA (GBAR_LNC014053)". The record is from RNAcentral. Lineage: Eukaryota; Viridiplantae; Streptophyta; Magnoliopsida; Malvales; Malvaceae.
AGCCUAACAUGGUUGCAGCAAUAGCUUCGGUGCACCCAGAGGUAACAGUAACUUCCUUCUCAGGGUCAAUCACAAGUCCGGUAUCCUUCUUGAAGCGAGCAGCUAUGGCGUUGUUAAAGUCUGGAACCCCAUAUCCUCGAGCAUAUUGGUUUUUCCCAUCUUUAAUGGCUUGAAUUGCCGCUUCUUUUACAAAAUCUGGACCAUCAAAGUUGGGGAACCCUUGGCCAAGGUUUAUUGCUCCAUGCUUGAUUGCAAGCAUACUCAUCUGAGUAAAAAUCGUAGUCUUGAACUUCUCCAAUCGCUUUGCAACC